UUUUUUUUUUUUUUUUUUUGGGGGGGGGUGGGGGGCAGAAUCAGUUUCAAAUAAUCAGUUUGACAGAAGCAUCAUAAAUAAGCCAAGGGGGGUCAUCCUGAAUCCCAGAGCCAAAUUUCAUACCACAUUUAAAAACACAUUCGAUGGGUUAAUUUCUCUAAAUGCCAUGCCUUAGCUUUGACUUUUAGCAUUUCAUGAGAUUGUCCCACCUUUUCUAGUCACUACAAGCAGGUUACGAGGUUGUAGAACCGGCAAGCACAUUCAAUAGCAGACUCUUUUUGUUGGCUCAGCGACACAUGCACUAUACCCGUUCAUGUGAGCUUCCCUUCUUCUUGUGUAAAAGUGUUCAUGUAUGAGAGACUUGCUCCAUAUCUAAAGUGACUUUUGAUAACGUCUUCACUGUUGCAUUAUAUAAAUAAUAUUGAUUUUAAUUGCAUUUGAUCACAUGGUUUGGCAAACCCUAAAGGUUACUAUAAAUCAAUAUUGCAUGCUUAAUCAACUUCAUGCUGAAAAUAAAUAAUGAAUAUAAAUAAUAUAUUUGAAAAUAUAACAUUGGAAAUUACAUUUUAAUGUAUGUUAACUGAAAUCCGGUACACACUGUACAGUAGUGUAAUAAAGGGAUGAAUCAGUGUAGGGCACAGGAAGGCCAGACAGGGGAACAUGACAAUAGAAAUGUAACUUGCGAUAGCAAAAAUGAACUGACAUAGCAGGGACCUAAGUAUAAAUAAAUUGAUAAGACAAAGAGGGACACCUCAAAAGACACCUGCGUCCAUAGGGACCUGUUUAGUUGGCACAAGGAACAGCGCUGACAAGGACAGGCGGGGAAAGAAAGAAAUUUAGAAUGAGACCUUUUUCUUUUGUUCUUGUCUUUGUUCACUGCUGUUGCUAUUUCAAUAUUGUAGAAAUGGUCAUCUCCAAUCAUAAGUCCAGGACAGUGAAUGCAACAUGUAUUAAAACAAAAAGUGCAGUAAGAAACCACUACAGUUGACUUUUUGUGCAUUAUUUAUUAAGAGGAACGAAAAUUGUCACACCGAGUUAUUGUAAUAUCGGUAAUAUUUUGUGAAGAUUACAUUUUGUGGCAAAAAAAUAAACAACAAAAGUAUCCUAAUUGUUGUCCACUAAUAGCCACAAUGACACUAUAGCGGAGAAAUGUGCAUAGUUUGACUCUGAGAGGGCGGGACUCAUGUUUGGAGAGCGCAAUGAACUAGGCGCGGCUAAAACGAGCCCCAUCCAUCUAUCACACGUGUAGACAAAGGGGGGACUCCACAACACAAAGCAGCAUGUGUCCUAACAAACUUUAUUUUUUUUCCACCCCGCACGGACGCACAGCCACACGCACGGAGAAAAGCACCUUCAGCUGGAACCUAAAACUCAGACAACUAAAUGUUCUUCAAAUUUUUGGGAAGCAGAUGGAGAAACUCCAAAGUCAUCUAUGAGGAAGCUUUGAGGAUUAAGACACAGCAUACUUUUAUUUUUGGAGAAGAUGAGGACUCGGGAUUUAAACUCCUGGAGCAGCUUUGCCUUGAGGGAUGUGUUCAAGGCAUACUUGGAAAUGUAAAAACCUGGAUAUACUCUGGAGAUUAAAUGUUCAGCGGAUUGCAGAUUAUUGAAUUUUGAGCCUAUGUGGUAAAGUGGAAAAAAGCAGCUUCCAAGCUAUGAGUCCACAUAUCAACAUUGUGUAGCAGUGACAGCUCUGAAGAUGGGACUGUAGGAGUGAUGAGGUCCGGGGGAUCACAACCUUAAUUUUCUCCAAGACAGACGCUUAAUUAACACUGAAGGAAACCUGGCUGGCUCCAGACCGACAACUGGAAUGUUCAAGGGAAUUAAGGUGCCAACCCCAUCAUAUACUUCACAAUAUGCCCUUCAAAUCCCCAUUCUCUCAUGGCUCUGAAUUUUGUGCAUUCACUUCUCCGGUUUCCUUUUCUGCAAUUCACAUUGUGAGAAGACCACCUCACAGGGAUUUUCCCCUUCACCAGGUGCCUUUCCUGUCUUCGUCUGUUUGACGGAGUCAGUAGCACCACAGCAGGAUGUGAAAUAGUGCUGGAGGCAGGGUGCCAGGCACAAGCAGCUGGGAAGGCUUCCCUCUCUUUUCCUGUCAUCAAUAAAUGAUCAUAGGCCAUGUGGAGGGAGGGAACCAUCAACCAGCAAGACCCGGAAAACAACUACUGAUGCGUCUAAGAAAGAGCGAUAUCGUGAGAAAAAAGUAAAGACAGAGCAGAAGCGGGAAUCUAAAAUAACAUGACCGUAGAAAUUGGUUGAUAAAUAAAGACAAUAUGGGGCAUAUAUAGAAUGACAUAUGUUGCUCAGUCAUCACAAAACUAACAGAAAAUGCAGUAUUCAUUGGCCCAACAAUAACUUCGGGCCUGAAUACAAAUUUACAAUGCCUAAAAUGUAAACUAAAUAUGACACGUCAAAGCUACAAGAAUUUUUGUUAUAUGAUUUCUGAUAUGAUGACAACUCUAACAUCUUUUACAUAGUCACAGCACGAUGUUUAAUGAUUGAUUUAUUUAAAUGUAAGGAACCAACGGGUUAAAUUCAAAGGGUUUUGUCUGUCUUCACACACAGUAUGCAUGCACACAUAUAUGGGAAUGAUGAAUAGUUCAUUCCUCUGCCUUAAGACUGGUCAAUACAAAGACAGCCAUCUAUCCGUUGGGUAAGAGCGGCAUAUAAUUGAAUCCUCUGUGGCUACUUAACCUGUCAUUGCUGCUGUGCACCAUGUGGGAGGAAUAGUUUCACCUUGUACUCACAUAUGGGUUCCUGUCACAGAGAGUCUGACUUGUAAAAUGUCUGAUCCAGCAGUUCACCCAGAGGAGCAUCAGAGGCUCAAGUCUUACAAAGGAUGUUCAGGGCAAUUCAAUUCUCUGAAUAAGAUUUUUGAAAUAAUUUAACUUAACAUUACAGAUUCCACACAAGCUGGCCUCCAGGUUAGGUUUUUAAUUGAGUGCAUUAUAAGACGAUUGGCAAUGGUAAAACGACACCCUUAAAAAUCCUGGGUUAAAAACAACUUCAUUGGGGUUAAAAAAAAAUUGACUGUUUUGUACAAAACAACCCAUUGUACACACAAUCCAAUAAAAUGUUUUUAUUUGGCCAAACAACCAAAAGUUUGGGCAAAUUAACCCAACUUCCCAUGUAGGUCCAAUUUUUAACUCGGCAGUUUCAACAGGAAGAAUCGAAUACAAAAUCUUUCAGUAAAAGGUAAAACAUACCUUUGAUUGUGAUUAUGUUAUCUCACCAUCUUAUGCAUUUCUUAGUGCCUUGUCAUCCAUCACAUUGAAGCAUGUUUUAUUACAUUUCUUCAAUUUUUUGUAGCUCUAAUUCCAUCAUGCCUUGCAGCUCUCUCAAAAACAUACUUUACCUAAUAAUAAUAAUAAUAAUAAUCUCCAUCUCUUAUGAAUCCCCCAUGAAAUCUGCUCUCAGAUCUGCCUUCCAUUUAAUCUUUUCUUCCCAAUUUAGGCCUUCACUGUCUGACUCUGUAUCUGAGAGCCUCACCCACUCGUUCCUUACUUUCUGCCUGAACAAUUGCAAUGGACUCUUGUUCAGGCUUCCUGGCAGUUCACUUGACAGACUGCAAUGUGCAGAACUCAGUUGCCAGGGUUCACAGUCUGACCAAACCUUGGCAGCAGCAAUAUACACACACAUGCACACACACUAAACACAUGCACACACACUAAACACAGACACCACACACACACACACACACACGCGCAGACACACACACAAACACACAACUCCCUCCCAAACACUGGCUUCCAGUCAAAUUCUGGUUGAUCUAUAAGCUAAUGCUCCUUGCCAACAAAGCUCAACAACUCAACAACUGCUAUAUGAUUUGUAGAUAACAAUCAUUCAAGAUAGGUCAAAUUGCUGAAUGCAUCUUCCACUUUCAUUAGAUUUUGCAGAAUGCUUAAUGGUGCACGCAGAGUACCCCCCCCCCCCCCCCCCCACACACACACAAUCACCACAAACCUUCCAUUCUUCCAAUUUAUUUUUCCAUUUUUUAUAUGCCAUGUUAAAUGGAAUUAUGAUCAAAGACUUUGUGGCUGCAUAUUGUGUCGUAACAUUAGUUACACAUCAGCGAGUUGCAUUUUGAUGUGUCUAAUGCGUAGCACUUAACAGUAAGGCAGACUGUUGGAUAGUGAGCGAAAUGAGAACAAAUGUGAGGCAGUGGGUGUGGGGGCCAAGAUGGUGAAAAUAAGAACCAUGGCAAAGAGAGAAAACAAUGCACUCUGGUGCCAAGACUGCAUAUCACCGCCUCACCCUACCGCUCUCUCUUUCUCUUGUCUUGCAUUCUUCCUUCCUCUUGGUCUCCCUUGAAGCAUCUCACUAAGCACCUCAGCUACCGCCAAGGGAAUUGAGGAUGCGUGUGGAAUAGCAGAAGAAGGGAAAAUGAGAGAAUGACAUGAAGAGAAAGGAAAACUAGGUUGAAUAAUGUAGUAAUGUACGUAGUAGCGCUUGUCUCAUCUUUGUGUGGAUGCUUCUGAAACAUCCAUCCAUCCAUCCAUCCAUCCAUCAAAAAAAGAUCCAUAACUUGAUGAAUUUAGUGAGCAAUAAAAUGAGAGCUAACCCUGACCUUAACACCUUCCAUUGUGAGCUACAAGGCAUUCUCUGAGGUAUAGUUUUACCUGACCUUAUUAGUGUUCCUCAGGAUAAAUAAAUACAUACAUACACAAAGUAAAUCCUACAGAGACACAAGUGCAAGCUGUUAUAGUAAAGAAAAAAAAAAUCAAUGUCAUAUUUUCAUUAAUUCAAACGCCUUGUGGAUGUGUUGUUUGGAUUUCACACACUUAUGCUGUAGACAGAAUUCACACUUUGAUUUAAAAACAAUCAUAGUGUAAUAACGAUAAUGACCAGAUUUGCUAUUGCAGGAGUUGGACUUGUAGUCAUAUCAACUGAUGACGAUGAAUCAAGUUUUGUUGUCAUAAUAUUAAGGGGGACAAUAUGGAAGUCAAUAGUGUUUGUGUUACUGUAAAAAUGAAAUCUUCUGCAGCUCUCAUUAGACGGCACAGAUGUAUCUAAUACUAUACAGUUGUGUGUGUGUAAUGCAUAAUGUACAUUUAAAUAGAGUAAUAAAGUUACUUCAUCAAAGCCCAAAACAUCAGCGAGCCGUAUAUAUACACUAUUUCACCCCUGCUUAACACUGCAGGUACUGUCUAACCCCAUGAGGUUUAACAUUUGCCUCCUGUGAACUCAUUAGUGUGCAAACAAAGGUCUAUUUGUUGUGUGUGACUUCGCCCUGUGCCCCGCUGAGUGAUGGGUGGGAUGUAUUUGUUAGAUGAAGAUAAUGGGUGUGUAUCUUUUUCUAUCUGAUGUUUUGGGUGUGCAUAUGGGGUUGUGUGCGUGUGUCUUAUCUAGUGCUUUUAACCAUACAGAGAGCAUGACCCUCCACAGGACCGCUCCGCUAUCUCUCUUCAAUAGAGGGUAUGAGGUCUUGGCCCGAGAGAGAUAAUUGGGAGGUAUAACACAGAAAGCAAAUAAAUGCCAAUCAAUCAAUCAAUCAAUCAAUAGCAAUCGUAGUUUACACAUACAGCCAUUAAACAAAGCUUGGCAACAAAUACAAUCCAAUUCAGACAUACAUAGAACCAUGCAAAAAUAAAACGUUAAAACAUUUGUGGCAUUCUUGCCUCAGUUACACAAUCGUUUGAUGAAAUGUGACGAUGAUGAUGAUUAUUAUUAUUGUAUUGAGAAAAAGCAAAAACCACCACAAGUCAGGCAGAAGCAGAGGUGACCGUACUAAACUUAAGUGACAUAACUACAGUACAUAUGGGAUUUAAGCAACUGCCCAAAGAGAGGAGAGGUUAAAGGUCACUUGGCAGGGAAAAUAAUUGCUCCAGAAAUGGACAGCCACGCCUGGCAACAUGUAUCCACGUGGAAGUGCGACAGACAGACAGACAAACUAGGCAGUUUGUCAGUCCAGAGAGGCCAGUGCAGCACUGACCAGGCAUGAUAGGAUGUUGACAACACAUUGCUCACAAUGGCGUACAAUGUGUAAGAUGUGCUGUGGGAUAGAAACUACAGUGACUAGGACUUAUGGCCAAUCAUUCAAAAGGACCUGCACAUUAACUGUAAGCUUCUAAUGGACCAAAAGGCAUAACUGCAUUUCUUAUAUCCUGCAAAAUUCAUGGAUGGUUGUAUAAAAAAGUUACAUUUAAAAUUUUUGAAAAAUGUGUUUUAAAAAUAAUAAAAAUGUCACAGAUGACUUCCAAAAUACACAAAUUCAAAACACUCCCAUGACUAAGCUUCCUCAGGCACACUGUUUGUAUGAUUCAUUCUUGCAUACGUAAGCAUAGAGUAACUGUGACCAACAAAAAAGCCCCGGAUUUGUGUCAUGUGUUUGUAGCAACCCUGCCCCUACCAAUAGGCCUUACUUACAUGCCUGGGCAUUUGCUGCUAGCCCACUCUUGAUGUACAAUCAGUUAGAAAAAGUAUAUGUGUUAGCAAAGUGUAUGUGUGCUGCUGGUCCCACAGGACACGACUGAGACCAAAUUACCUGUCACUGGUUGACAUCACCUACCCCCAAGCACCACACACAAAGGACAACUGAGAGGCUACUGUGAACUAUCAGCUCAACGAGCUCUUUCUCUCUCUUCCUUGAGAUUUAGCAGGUGUUGAGGUGCCUGGCUGACUCCCUUCAUUGAAACUAUUAUCAGAAUCAGUACCCCCUUGUAACAUGCACCUUAAAAUAAUGUGUGCAAAUAUCAGCAAUAUGCACACGCUACCAUAAAAGGAUUUUUCACACCUCCACCACACUCUUGCUCCACCCCUCACUAAUAUUUGAAAACGACACUCAAAGAGGGCGUUCGCUGGAGGACCAUUGGGCUUACGAGAGGGCAGGGGGUCAGGCUAAAACUAGGACUUAUAUAAUUUAUAAACAAUGACAAGCUAUAUGUGUGGUUGAUUGGUUGGCAACUAGUUCCCGAUGUCCCCUGCCUACUGUCUGUACUUAGUUGGGAAAGAGCGGACUAAGAUGGACGAAAAUGCUUGUAUACCUUACAGUGGAGGAGCCACAUAGAUUGUUCAGAUUCUGGAAGUGACGUCAGGAUUCGCUGCUCAUCUAAUCAGAUGACAGAAAACCAAAUUCACAUGCAGUGCGGCGUUCAACCUAUAGAUGAUGCCCUACGGACCAUUUCCAACCCCUAAAUUAAAAAAUGUUACCUGGGCUCAGGGUAGUAUAGCCCCGUCAGAAAUCUGGUUAGCCCUGGUAAAUUGGUGAAUUCUCUCCAGCAUUGUAUUUUACGUUUUACACAAUACAGACCACAGUCUCACAAUAGGAAAAAUGGUUUAUGGUAAAAUCAACCAAAAAAGGGCAUUUGUAACAAAAGGCAGCAAACAGCACACGCGUGCGUACUUUUUACACCGGAUUCUCAGCAACCAUUGGGUUGAUUAUGUUGUGUAAUUAUAAUAUAAAUAAUAACCUUUCUUUGAAAGAAAAAAAAAAAAACUUGGCAACACUCCUGUCUCUUUUUUCUCACUGUGUCUCAGCCAGAUUGUUUAGCAACAAAUGCUUACAGUCUUUAAGAACAGAAGAAGUCUUUAAGAACAUGAAAUGAAACAUUUUGCAUUUUUGCAAAGUGGGUGCAGGUCAUGUAAGACUUUAAAUUUGAUUAAGGCAAUAUUAUAAUUGAACUAUCAUCGCAGGAUAUAUUUUUCUUUUACAUGUACAUAUACAUAACUGAUAAAAAAAAGAUAAAAGAGUGUAACCUCCCAAAAAAUUAUAAAAAUCCAGUGGCACCCCUGUGCUUUGGGCCAUGGUGCGUCAUUCCAAUUUUUUACCCCAACUU
Long non-coding RNA from Syngnathus acus (greater pipefish), 7775 nucleotides. RefSeq lists it as uncharacterized. NCBI's taxonomy places the organism in Eukaryota, Metazoa, Chordata, Actinopteri, Syngnathiformes, Syngnathidae. The record is from RefSeq and is a predicted model, not a curated record. The transcript has 9 exons.